Non-coding RNA from Sus scrofa (pig), 2912 nucleotides. The record is from RefSeq and is a predicted model, not a curated record. Lineage: Eukaryota; Metazoa; Chordata; Mammalia; Artiodactyla; Suidae.
GAUGGUUCAGAGCCAGGUAGCCCAGAUGGAUCUGAAAUCACAAGGAGACGAGGCUGCAUCGCCCUUCAGAACUAAAAAUCCAGCGUGAAUGAACAACAGGGGGAAUCACCACCACCUCCACAUAGCUGGACACAAGUUCCUCCACCUCAGCACUGAUGUUAAGGUGGGUCCUUCAGGGGUGUGUAUCAAGGGUAUCGGUGAAAGCAGGGAACCCAGAAGAAUGAGAAAAAAUGACAGAAUUUACUACUUCAUAUUCCCCCCCCUUAAAAGCAUUGAUGAAGUCGUCAUUGGGAAAAUCUGAAUAUUCUUACUUGUACUUCUUUUAUUUUAAAGGACAAGUAUGUGGAGUUCCCGUCGUGGCACAGUGGUUAAUGAAUCCAACUAGGAACCAUGACAUUGCAGUUUUAGAGUCAACCAUGAACAAAACACCAGGGACUGGAGGGGACAACCACAAACUCCAAGGACACUGCUGCCACCUGCUGUUCACACAUUCUCCAUCCAAGGGCUCCUCCCCAACGCCUGCCUUCCUGUUCCAGUGUCUCAAGGUCCCGGUCACCACUGGGAACAGACCCCCUUCUAUGGCCUGGGUAAGAGAAUUUCAACCUUUGCUCAAUUUCAAAUGCAGGAAAGGUUAGCCCUUAGCAGAAGGAGAGGGGCUCCAAUAAAAGAGUAGAGAGAUGCAGCCUGUGGGCCAGACCCUGCUUCUUUGAAUCUGUGACUUCAUCUAUAAAAUGAUGACAACCAUUAUAUCUGCUUCAUAGAAUAGCUUUUAAGAUAAAAUGAGGGUUUCCCCCCCUCUACAAUCUACCUUUCUUACCAGAAAAAAAAAAAAAAGUUAGCUAUGUAAAGGGCAAGCCAGGAUGGGGAAAAAUCAUGCCUCCCCAAAUGCCUAAAAUCAACCUCUGUUUACAUUAACAUUCUUAACAUUUAAAAAAAUUUCAUAAAGCAUUUCUCUUAUAUUUUGCUACUGAUGUUGAAUGUGUCAAAAUUUAAGUCUUGAAUCAUUUUCGGUACAUUUUAUUAUCUGAACCAGAAUGUGAAAUACUGCAAAGGGUAUAUGAUCUUUUUAAAAGAGAAUUGAAAGUGUCUCUCCCAUCUGAGACUGUCAGAGUAACUGCCAAGAUUCUGGUUCACAAGUUUCACGUCACUUCUUUCAGGCAUGGCAUCUAGCAAAUGGGCAAUGUGAAACUGAGAAAACUGGAGGGGGCUUUUUCCACUCAGGUUCCCUUGGGAACCAACACCAACAGCAAAACUAAGAGGCCUGGCUCCCUCCCAGCAGCUAUAAACAUCACACCAGAUUCUGUUUGCCUGAACAUUCCUUCUGACUGGAUCUAGAUGCUAGUAUUUGGGUACCAAUCAACUUUCAUGUGGCCAAUCCAAUAUUCCUUCCUAGAAUAUUGGCAAUUUGCAUUGCUGCCUUGAAAGUUCAGCAAAACUGAAACUCUCAAUGGGCAAGUUCCAGCAAGUACCUGUAAAUGAUUUCAGGGCUAUCCAUUGUACCACUACGGGCCUAGUUGUGGUGUGGAUUCCAGGGACAGGUCUGGCUGUUCUCAUCCUCUAAAAGGGAGAUUGGGUACCACCUUGUUCUCUCGCCUUCUUGGUGUGGACAGAAUGCUAUGUGAAGAUACUAUCUGCUGCCUGGAUUUUUCUUGUGAGACAUGAAUGUUUCACGUAUCUGGGAGAAGUGCACAGUGACCCAGUGGAGAGCCUAAUGGCACAGUGGUAAAGCCAGAGUGUGGGACAGCUGAGGGAAAAUGACUCAGGACCUCUGCACCAGAGCAAGGAGGCAUCUUUGAGAGGGAGACAAGUCAAAUGAAGGCCCUGAUGGAGACUUUGGGAGGGAGCACUAAGGCUCGACCUGGACUUAGAUUUUUGGUCCAUCAGUGAUGAAGGCAGCUGAGAAGGAAGCAUUUCAAACUGAGACCCACACCAUAGAAAUAAGAGGAACUCUUAAGAUGGCAUUUAGAUACAGCUCUUAGAAGCUGCUCAGUAACCACACAAUAAGUGGUUAACAACAGCAGCAUCUCCAGUGGCUCUGUGGCUCUGCGCCACAGUGCCUGGACUAGUCUACUGGGGCUUCUUCAACUGGGACCUGCAAACUCACCCUCAGGCAUCUGCGACUAGGUAAGGAAUGCUACACUGUAUCUUUUCACUUGAUGCCACUUUAAAAUAAGAUUCAUGUUUGCAGAUUCUGGUCAUCUGUGCAGCCCCUGAAUAGUAUAAAAUGAUUUUAGUGUCUACAUUGGCACUUUAGAUUAGAUUGGGGCCAAAUAAUGCUCUUUGAGUUGUCAGAACUAGAGGAAAAAAGAACAGAGAUAGAUUUAAUAUGUAAACAAGUAGAGACCAAAGGACAUCACAAAACAUUCUAUGAAGAUAACUUACCUAGUCGUUCAACCAAAAGACUAGUGGGUCUGCAGAGUUAUCACGCAGCCCAUGGGGGGCAGGCCUGCCAAAUACAGAACCCUGUCGUGAAAAGAUAUCCCAAAAAGGUAGGCAGUUUGUCUUUUCCAUUUUAUACCGGGAUGCAGGCCUGCCCCAGGAUGAUCUUUUGGUUUCAGGGCCCAUUUAUAUCUUAAAAAUUAUUGAGACUCCUAAGGAGCUUUUGUUGAUGUGGAUUGUAUCAAUCUAUAUUUAUGUAUUAGAAAUGAAUUUGAGAGAUUCAUUUACUAAUUCAUUUGAAAUGACAAAAGUAAACCCAUUAUAUAUUAACAUAGCUAACCUUUUUAAUGAAAAUAUGUUUUGCAAAGCACAACUUUAGUGAGAAGAGUAGCAUUAUUUUACAUUUUUGCAAACCCAUUUGAUGUCUGGUUUAUCAGAAGACGGCUAAAUUCUUAUGUCUGCUUAAGUAUUCAACCCACUUUGAAUAAUGUUUUGUUUUUGGUUUUUUGGUUUUGUUUUUUUUUUUUUUUUUG